GAUGAACGCUGGCGGCGUGCUUAACACAUGCAAGUCGAACGGAAAGGCCAGUGCUUGCACUGGUACUCGAGUGGCGAACGGGUGAGUAACACGUGGGUGAUCUGCCCUGCACUUCGGGAUAAGCCUGGGAAACUGGGUCUAAUACCGGAUAGGACAAUGGUUUGGAUGCCGUUGUGGAAAGUUUUUUCGGUGUGGGAUGAGCUCGCGGCCUAUCAGCUUGUUGGUGGGGUAAUGGCCUACCAAGGCGUCGACGGGUAGCCGGCCUGAGAGGGUGUACGGCCACAUUGGGACUGAGCUGCGGCCCAGACUCCUACGGGAGGCAGCAGUGGGGAAUAUUGCACAAUGGGCGCCAGCCUGAUGCAGCGACGCCGCGUGGGGGAUGACGGCCUUCGGGUUGUAAACUCCUUUCGCUAGGGACGAAGCGUAUUUGUGACGGUACCUGGAGAAGAAGCACCGGCUAACUACGUG
This 468-nucleotide ribosomal RNA is filed under the name uncultured bacterium. RNAcentral's name for it is "partial 16S ribosomal RNA". It matches the Rfam family "Bacterial small subunit ribosomal RNA", at positions 28 to 507 of the family's 1533-position model. The record is from RNAcentral.